GGGGAAUAUUGGACAAUGGGCGAAAGCCUGAUCCAGCCAUGCCGCGUGAGUGAUGAAGGCCCUUGGGUUGUAAAGCUCUUUUGUGCGGGAAGAUAAUGACGGUACCGCAAGAAUAAGCACCGGCUAACUUCGUGCCAGCAGCCGCGGUAAUACGAAGGGGGCUAGCGUUGCUCGGAAUCACUGGGCGUAAAGGGUGCGUAGGCGGGUUUCUAAGUCAGAGGUGAAAGCCUGGAGCUCAACUCCAGAACUGCCUUUGAUACUGGAAGUCUUGAGUUCGGGAGAGGUGAGUAGAAGUGCGAGUGUAGAGGUGAAAUUCGUAGAUAUUCGCAAGAACACCAGUGGCGAAGGCGGCUCACUGGCCCGAUACUGACGCUGAGGCACGAAAGCGUAGGGAGCAAACA
Molecule: ribosomal RNA, 401 nt
Filed under: uncultured bacterium
Lineage: Bacteria
Description: bacterial SSU rRNA
Rfam family: Bacterial small subunit ribosomal RNA
Source: RNAcentral